This is a long non-coding RNA of Camelus dromedarius (Arabian camel), 788 nucleotides long. RefSeq lists it as uncharacterized. The transcript has 4 exons. The record is from RefSeq and is a predicted model, not a curated record. NCBI's taxonomy places the organism in Eukaryota, Metazoa, Chordata, Mammalia, Artiodactyla, Camelidae.
ACAGGAGAUACUUCAGCCCAGAAUUGUCAUCAGCUGGCCCUUCUCAGGACGAGGAGAAUUAACAAGCAUUGCUUUUGGAACACUUCAAGUGUUCCAAGUGCUUGGCAGUCGUUUACCGGUUAAUCCUCCUUUGAGGGAGGUCAGCCCUCGGCUUGAAUUUUCACAUGAAGUAUUUCACACAGAUGUGAAAUCAUCUCUGAAAGGCCACAGUGCAGCAAAUCUGGGGUAAAAGAAAUAAUCAGAGACAGAUCUGGGUCCAAGUGAGGAGCAAGAAAUGUACGCCUUUGGUUUGCCCAUGUGGACGUUCUUUCUGCUUGCUUCUCCUAUUCCAGACACAUCCAGGAGUCAAUGGAGUCUUCGCUGCAAUCCUGAGAGGUUGAUGCCAGCAUCGUCUCUAUGGCACUGAUGAGGAAACUAAGGCACACGGUGUCAAUCAGUUGUUCAGUACACAGCUAGGAACUGCUGAAUUACCCCUGCAGUGCACCUCUGGUUGUUCCCUUGAAGUCUUUUGAAAGAGAAGCCUUUGGAAAUUCUUUUAAAACACCACGUUUGUUAUUAUACAGACCUCUCACCAGUCCUUUCACUGUCAACUCUACUUUAAAGCUACUCUUCUUACAUGUUUCUGGUGCAUUCUCUGUAGGUUUUCACGAGCUCGGCAUCCAGUCCGGUUCUUAGUGUCAGAGACCACCUGCUCCAGAGGGUCGGAGCCCUUUAUUAAUUAGACACCCAGCAGCACUCUUCAAUCCCAAAAUGCUCUGCCUCCUUCUCUGCAAAACAAGCCUAACGCU